RNAcentral lists this ribosomal RNA (993 nucleotides) under Gammarus dacicus. Its description in RNAcentral is "bacterial SSU rRNA". It matches the Rfam family "Eukaryotic small subunit ribosomal RNA", at positions 187 to 970 of the family's 1831-position model. The record is from RNAcentral. Lineage: Eukaryota; Metazoa; Arthropoda; Malacostraca; Amphipoda; Gammaridae.
CACUGCUCUGACGGAUGCUUUUAUUAGACCAAACCGCUGAGGACUUGGGGGUUCUCCUCUUGUCUGACUCGUGUGAUGGUGACUCUGGAUAACCAAUUCUGACAAGCGCACGUACUUCUCUUCUGAGCGAGACGGCGCUGCCACUUUCGAGUGUCUGCCUUAUCAGCUAUCAACCGUUCGUUAUGCGCGACCGAUGGCUUUGACGGGUAACGGGGAAUCAGGGUUCGAUUCCGGAGAGGCAGCCUGAGAGACGGCUACCACGUCCAAGGACGGCAGCAGGCACGCAAAUUACCCAAUCCCAGCAACUGGGGGAGGUAGUGACGAAAUCUAACGAUGCGGGCGCCCUUUCUGGGGCCCCGCAAUCGGAAUGGGCACUUUCUAAACAACCUGUUGAGAACCUACUGAAGGGCAAGUCUGGUGCCAGCAGCCGCGGUAAUUCCAGCUUCAGCAGCAUCUAUUAAAGUUGCUGCGGUUAAAAGGCUCGCAGUUGAAUGUCUGUAUCGAGCGCAGGUCAGGUGGACGUUGUGGCGUGGAAGUACGGGCAGUUGGAUGUCCGUGGGGCUUCGUGCUCAACGGCUCCUUCGGCUUUUCCACACACCCCCGUCCGUGACAAGCCUCCUCGCUCGGGUACAUAACGGGAAUCGGUCAAACGGAGUGUGGUUGGAGGUUGGGGUGCGUGGCUUCGGUUGCGUGCUUCUUCUUUCGGCUGCGUUAGCUCCAUCGGUUUCACGGUCACCUUGAGUAAAUCAGAGUGCUCAAGCAGUCGUAGGGGCCUUGCGCCCUGUGAACAGUCUUGACGGACUGACUUGGUUUGCAUGGCAUGUCGGAAGACGACGUCGUGUGCUGGCUCAGAGGAUAAAUCAGUGGUACAAGCCAGCCUCGACGUAAUGAUUAAAAGGGACGGUCGAGGGCAUUGGUAUUGCGAGGCGAGAGGUGAAAUUCUGUGACCCCCGCAAGACCUCCUGAAGCGAAAGCGUCUGCCAAGGACGUUUU